Long non-coding RNA from Hydra vulgaris (swiftwater hydra), 383 nucleotides. RefSeq lists it as uncharacterized. The record is from RefSeq and is a predicted model, not a curated record. Lineage: Eukaryota; Metazoa; Cnidaria; Hydrozoa; Anthoathecata; Hydridae.
UUUUUCUUUUAUAUGUCGCACAAACGAGAUAGGUUUAUAAAUUGUUUAACUUUGUACAUUAAAGGAUCGCGACAGCUUUUUUUGGUGAUUGAGGUAUGUCACUUUCAGACAUGAAGCAAACUUCAAGCAUGGGCUUCACAUUGGACUGUAUGCUUUAGGAUCAUAAAAGCCAAGAAAGAGCCAAGAUAGAGCCAAGAAAUCAUCAAAAUGUAAACUAAAAAACGAUAACAUUUUACUUUUAGGGUAGCUAUACUUUAGGGGUAGGCGAUAUCGUGCACUGCACGAGGGCGUCAAGUAAAUUGGGUCGGAGUUUGUCAUUUUGUAUGUUGUCAUUUUGUAGUUGUAAAUUAAAUUUUUUAUGUAAAUAAAUGCAUUCUUUACUA